Molecule: unclassified non-coding RNA, 148 nt
Organism: Chelonoidis abingdonii (Abingdon island giant tortoise)
Lineage: Eukaryota; Metazoa; Chordata; Testudines; Testudinidae
Source: Ensembl
CUGGUGGUUCUGGAGGCUGCAGUCCCUUGUUUAUCCAUAGGACAGGUACAUCAUGGGCAGCAGAAGGGCAAUCUCCUCAAUACAUUUCUCAGCCCUGACUCUAGGAAUGAGUAGUUUAGUCUCCAUGACCACACAGUCUUGGGUCGCU